AGCGAACGCUGGCGGUAGGCCUAACACAUGCAAGUCGAACGGCAGCACAGUAAGAGCUUGCUCUUACGGGUGGCGAGUGGCGGACGGGUGAGGAAUACAUCGGAAUCUACUUUUUCGUGGGGGAUAACGUAGGGAAACUUACGCUAAUACCGCAUACGACCUACGGGUGAAAGCAGGGGAUCUUCGCACCUUGCGCGAUUGAAUGAGCCGAUGUCGGAUUAGCUAGUUGGCGGGGUAAAGGCCCACCAAGGCGCCGAUCCGUAGCUGGUCGGAGAGGAUGGUCGGCCGCACUGGAACUGAGACGCGGUCCAGACGCCUACGGGAGGCAGCAGUGGGGAAUAUUGGACAAUGGGCGCAAGCCUGAUCCAGCCAUACCGCGUGGGUGAAGAAGGCCUUCGGGUUGUAAAGCCCUUUUGUUGGGAAAGAAAAGCAGCAGGUUAAUACCCCGCUGUUCUGACGGUACCCAAAGAAUAAGCACCGGCUAACUUCGUG
Molecule: ribosomal RNA, 492 nt
Filed under: uncultured bacterium
Lineage: Bacteria
Description: partial 16S ribosomal RNA
Rfam family: Bacterial small subunit ribosomal RNA
Source: RNAcentral